This 253-nucleotide ribosomal RNA is filed under the name uncultured prokaryote. RNAcentral's name for it is "partial 16S ribosomal RNA". It matches the Rfam family "Bacterial small subunit ribosomal RNA", at positions 525 to 777 of the family's 1533-position model. The record is from RNAcentral.
ACGUAGGUGGCAAGCGUUGUCCGGAUUUAUUGGGUUUAAAGGGUGCGUAGGCGGCCCUAUAAGUCAGUGGUGAAAUACUCUAGCUUAACUAGAGGGGUGCCAUUGAUACUGUAGGGCUUGAGUAAAGUUGAGGUUGGCGGAAUUGACGGUGUAGCGGUGAAAUGCUUAGAUAUCGUCAAGAACACCUAUUGCGAAGGCAGCUAACUAAGCUUUAACUGACGCUGAGGCACGAAAGUGUGGGGAUCAAACAGGA